This 204-nucleotide long non-coding RNA is filed under the name Gossypium barbadense (sea-island cotton). RNAcentral's name for it is "long non-coding RNA (GBAR_LNC008164)". The record is from RNAcentral. Lineage: Eukaryota; Viridiplantae; Streptophyta; Magnoliopsida; Malvales; Malvaceae.
AAAAUUAAACUGUAGAAAAGAAUAAGAAUGAGAGUUUUCGAUUGGUGUAGAUAGUGCGAAUAGAAAAUGUUAUAUAGUAAUAAUCUUAACAACUUAGUGGCUUAAAUGAAACUUUGUAAUAAUUUAGUGAUUAUUUUGUGAUUUUUUAAAAUUAAAUGACCAAAACAUAAAUUUAUUAAUAGUUUAAUAACUGCUAAGUUUUAA